CAGUCGCCACGGUAAUACGUAGGUCCCGAGCGUUGUCCGGAUUUAUUGGGCGUAAAGCGAGCGCAGGCGGUUUGUUAAGUCAGAUGUGAAAUCCCCGAGCUUAACUUGGGAACUGCAUUUGAAACUGGCAAGCUAGAGUCUCGUAGAGGGGGGUAGAAUUCCAGGUGUAGCGGUGAAAUGCGUAGAUAUGCGGAGGAACACCGAUGGCGAAGGCAAUCCCCUGGACCUGUACUGACGCUCAUGCACGAAAGCGUGGGGAGCAAACAGGAUUAGAUACCCCGGUAGUCCCUGUCUCUUAUAC
This 301-nucleotide ribosomal RNA is filed under the name uncultured bacterium. RNAcentral's name for it is "partial 16S ribosomal RNA". It matches the Rfam family "Bacterial small subunit ribosomal RNA", at positions 509 to 807 of the family's 1533-position model. The record is from RNAcentral.